This is a non-coding RNA of Trametes elegans, 92 nucleotides long. NCBI's taxonomy places the organism in Eukaryota, Fungi, Basidiomycota, Agaricomycetes, Polyporales, Polyporaceae. The record is from the annotation of a GenBank genome assembly.
GCCGGGAUAGCUCAGCUGGGAGAGCGACAGACUGAAGAUUUCCGGGUAAAGGUGCUUUCUGGCGGUCGCGUGUUCAAUCCACGCUCCUGGCA